GAUGAACGCUGGCGGCGUGCCUAAUACAUGCAAGUCGAGCGAACAGACGAGGAGCUUGCUCCUCUGACGUUAGCGGCGGACGGGUGAGUAACACGUGGAUAACCUACCUAUAAGACUGGGAUAACUUCGGGAAACCGGAGCUAAUACCGGAUAAUAUAUUGAACCGCAUGGUUCAAUAGUGAAAGACGGUUUUGCUGUCACUUAUAGAUGGAUCCGCGCCGCAUUAGCUAGUUGGUAAGGUAACGGCUUACCAAGGCGACGAUGCGUAGCCGACCUGAGAGGGUGGUCGGCCACACUGGAACUGAGCCACGGUCCAGACUCCUACGGGAGGCAGCAGUAGGGAAUCUUCCGCAAUGGGCGAAAGCCUGACGGAGCAACGCCGCGUGAGUGAUGAAGGUCUUCGGAUCGUAAAACUCUGUUAUUAGGGAAAAACAAAUGUGUAAGUAACUAUGCACGUCUUGACGGUACCUAAUCAGAAAGCCACGGCUAACUACGUG
RNAcentral lists this ribosomal RNA (497 nucleotides) under uncultured bacterium. Its description in RNAcentral is "partial 16S ribosomal RNA". It matches the Rfam family "Bacterial small subunit ribosomal RNA", at positions 28 to 507 of the family's 1533-position model. The record is from RNAcentral.